Molecule: unclassified non-coding RNA, 251 nt
Filed under: Hevea brasiliensis (rubber tree)
Lineage: Eukaryota; Viridiplantae; Streptophyta; Magnoliopsida; Malpighiales; Euphorbiaceae
Source: RNAcentral
AAAAUAAAAGUUGCUAAAUAGUUCUUGACCAUAAAUUCCUAAAUAGCACGUUAAAGGAUGAAACAAUUUGCAAGAAAUGUGAAUUUUGUAAUUAAGAAUAUAAAAAAGGCACCAAAGUGCCGAAACAAAGAAAGAGCUAGCUUAAGAUAUCUACUAAAGUAUACAAAAGAAGAAUAUAAAAGCCUUGAAGAUGGACAACCAUCAUUGACAGAAAACAUUGUUUUCAAGCUUAAUCUCCCUUGUAUGUGCAU